CAGCAGCCGCGGGAAUACGUAGGUGGCAAGCGUUGUCCGGAAUUAUUGGGCGUAAAGGGCUCGCAGGCGGUUUCUUAAGCCUGAUGUGAAAGCCCCCGGCUCAACCGGGGAGGGUCAUUGGAAACUGGGAAACUUGAGUGCAGAAGAGGAGAGUGGAAUUCCACGUGUAGCGGUGAAAUGCGUAGAGAUGUGGAGGAACACCAGUGGCGAAGGCGACUCUCUGGUCUGUAACUGACGCUGAGGAGCGAAAGCGUGGGGAGCGAACAGGAUUAGAUACCCCAGUAGUCCCUGUCUCUUAUAU
Molecule: ribosomal RNA, 301 nt
Filed under: uncultured bacterium
Lineage: Bacteria
Description: partial 16S ribosomal RNA
Rfam family: Bacterial small subunit ribosomal RNA
Source: RNAcentral